This 497-nucleotide ribosomal RNA is filed under the name uncultured bacterium. Its description in RNAcentral is "partial 16S ribosomal RNA". It matches the Rfam family "Bacterial small subunit ribosomal RNA", at positions 28 to 507 of the family's 1533-position model. The record is from RNAcentral.
GAUGAACGCUGGCGGCGUGCCUAAUACAUGCAAGUCGAGCGAACAGACGAGGCUCUUGCUCCUUUUACGUUAGCGGCGGACGGGUGAGUAACACGUAGGUAACCUACCUAUAAGACUGGGAUAACUUCGGGAAACCGGAGCUAACACCGGAUAAUAUUUCGAACCGCAUGGUUCUAUAGUGAAAGAUGGCUUUGCUAUCACUUAUAGAUGUACCUUCGCCGUAUUAGCUAGUUGGUAAGGUAACGGCUUACCAAGGCAACGAUACGUAGCCGACCUGAGAGGGUGAUCGGCCACACUGGAACUGAGACACGGUCCAGACUCCUACGGGAGGCAGCAGUAGGGAAUCUUCCGCAAUGGGCGAAAGCCUGACGGAGCAACGCCGCGUGAGUGAUGAAGGUCUUCGGAUCGUAAAACUCUGUUAUUAGGGAAGAACAAACGUGUAAGUAACUGUGCACGUCUUGACGGUACCUAAUCAGAAAGCCACGGCUAACUACGUG